GACGAACGCUGGCGGCGUGCUUAACACAUGCAAGUCGAACGCUGAAACACCAGCUUGCUGGUGUGGAUGAGUGGCGAACGGGUGAGUAAUACGUGAGUAACCUGCCCUUGACUCUGGGAUAAGCCCGGGAAACUGGGUCUAAUACUGGAUGCUACAUGUCACCGCAUGGUGGUGUGUGGAAAGGGUUUACUGGUCUUGGAUGGGCUCACGGCCUAUCAGCUUGUUGGUGAGGUAAUGGCUCACCAAGGCGACGACGGGUAGCCGGCCUGAGAGGGUGACCGGCCACACUGGGACUGGGACACGGCCCAGACUCCUACGGGAGGCAGCAGUGGGGAAUAUUGCACAAUGGGCGAAAGCCUGAUGCAGCGACGCCGCGUGAGGGAUGACGGCCUUCGGGUUGUAAACCUCUUUCAGCAGGGAAGAAGCCACAAGUGACGGUACCUGCAGAAGAAGCGCCGGCUAACUACGUGCCAGCCGCCGCGGUAA
RNAcentral lists this ribosomal RNA (486 nucleotides) under uncultured bacterium. RNAcentral describes it as "partial 16S ribosomal RNA". It matches the Rfam family "Bacterial small subunit ribosomal RNA", at positions 28 to 523 of the family's 1533-position model. The record is from RNAcentral.